This 294-nucleotide unclassified non-coding RNA is filed under the name uncultured fungus. RNAcentral describes it as "partial contains 5.8S ribosomal RNA, internal transcribed spacer 2, and large subunit ribosomal RNA". The stretch from base 1 to 52 matches the Rfam family "5.8S ribosomal RNA", at positions 103 to 154 of the family's 154-position model. The record is from RNAcentral. Lineage: Eukaryota; Fungi.
AACGCACCUUGCGCUCCUUGGUAUUCCGAGGAGCAUGCCUGUUUGAGUGUCAUGGUAUUCUCAAUUCUCUAGGUCUUUUGUAAGACUCUGGUGAUAUUGGACUUGGAGGCUAUUGCUGGAACCUUGCAGGUACCUGCUCCUCUCAAAUGCAUCAGUAUGAAUGCUCACUUCAUGCUCAGUGUGAUAAUUAUCUGCACUGUGUCUGAGUGUCAUAAAUUCAUGCUUCAAACUGUCGUCAAGACAAUUCAUUUGACUUCUGACCUCAAAUCAGGUAGGACUACCCGCUGAACUUAA